AUAUUAAAAACUUUCAACAACGGAUCUCUUGGUUCUCGCAUCGA
This 44-nucleotide ribosomal RNA is filed under the name Saccharomyces cerevisiae (brewer's yeast). RNAcentral describes it as "partial ribosomal RNA". The record is from RNAcentral. Lineage: Eukaryota; Fungi; Ascomycota; Saccharomycetes; Saccharomycetales; Saccharomycetaceae.